Molecule: long non-coding RNA, 785 nt
Organism: Clupea harengus (Atlantic herring)
Lineage: Eukaryota; Metazoa; Chordata; Actinopteri; Clupeiformes; Clupeidae
Source: Ensembl
CUAGCCCAGGGAAAAUAGAUCUGCACAGCUUCAGCAGCUCCACAGAUGAAAAUGAGAACAAGACAACUGAGCAACAUCAAUGUUAGUGUGCUCUGCACAUUUCACUCUGGACAGUUUCUCAAACCUGGGACAAUAUCGAGCAGGCUUUGCUCAGCGUUUGAUGCUAAAGAGAGAGGCACUUUCAGCUUUAUUGGCAUCACAACCCCAACUGCAACCUCUUCUUGCUUUGCCCUGGUGGAUGGGCACACUUCAGAAGUGGUGGUGACGAGGAUGCAGUGUCAAACCAACAGCCUUGCCACUAAUUUCAACCGGCCUGAAAAUAGGCUUCAAAGCCAUAGCCCUCCAAGAUGUCAUGCUUGGCUUAUAUACUCAACCUGACUCCUGAAAGGUUACAUGUAUAACCAAUGAAAACCUACAGGGUCCAGGGCCGGACCUAGCCCAUUUGGUGCCCUAGGCAAGCUUCACCCCUCCAAGACGUCAUGCUUGGGACACAAAGCCAGAUGAAUCUGGAGCGCUCCAAGAGCAGGAUAGGAACAGAUGCUGGGACAGCUGCUGAUGCAUUACCAGAAGAAGGACCAUCUUCAGAUGUCCCAGAUAUCUUGGCUAAAAGGAAGAUUAAGCCACCUCUCUCUGACCUAGAUAUUCCCUAAAGACAUAGUCCAGUGAGGAGCCUUGCAUCACUUGAUAUUUGUGUCUGCCUUGUAAACAAAGUAUUAUUAUGACGUUGUUACAAGUAAGCAAGUAUUAUUAUGCAUGCAACAAUAUCUCUGUCAAGAUGUAGCCGU